AGGAUAAACGCUGGCGGCGUGCCUAACACAUGCAAGCCGAACGUCCUACGCAAGUAGGGAGUGGCGGACGGGUGAGUAACACGUGGGCAAUCUACCUUUCGGUGAGGAAUACCGGCGAGAAAUCGCCGACAAUACCACAUACGCUUCGCAAGAAGCAAAGUCGCAAGACGCCGGAGGAGGAGCCUGCGCCCGAUUAGCUGGUUGGUGAGGUAAAAGCUCACCAAGGCGUCGAUCGGUAGCUGGUCUGAGAGGAUGAUCAGCCACGCUGGGAUUGAGAACGGCCCAGACUCCUACGGGGGGCAGCAGUGAGGAAUUUUCGUCAAUGGGGGAAACCCUGAACGAGCAACGCCGCGUGCAGGAUGACGCUUCUCGGAGUGUAAACUGCUUUUCUCGGGGAAGAGGAACGGACGGUACCCGAGGAAUCGAGCCCGGCUAACUCGUGCCAGCAGCCGC
This 453-nucleotide ribosomal RNA is filed under the name uncultured bacterium. RNAcentral describes it as "SSU rRNA". It matches the Rfam family "Bacterial small subunit ribosomal RNA", at positions 26 to 518 of the family's 1533-position model. The record is from RNAcentral.